GACGAACGCUGGCGGCAUGCCUAACACAUGCAAGUCGAACGAAACGUUCGGGUCUUGUGGCGCACGGGUGCGUAACGCGUGGGAAGCGGCACUUAGGUUCGGAAUAACUAAGAGAAAUUUGAGCUAAUACCGGAUGAUGUCUUCUGACCAAAGAUUUAUUGCAUCUCGAUGGGCGCUCGUUGGAUUAGCUAGUUGGUAGUGUAAAGGCAUACGAAGGCGACGAUCCAUAGCUGGUCUGAGAGAAGGAUCAGCCACUCUGGGACUCAGAAACGGCCCAGAAUCUUACGGAAUGGAGGAGAGGGUAACAUAGGAACACGGGCGAAAGGCUGAUGGAGCAAUGAUGGGAAAGUGCUGAAGGCCUUAGGGUUGAAAUGUUCUUUUACCCGAGAUGAUAAUGACAGUAUCGGGUGAAUAAGCUACGGCUAACUCCGUG
This 433-nucleotide ribosomal RNA is filed under the name uncultured bacterium. RNAcentral describes it as "partial 16S ribosomal RNA". It matches the Rfam family "Bacterial small subunit ribosomal RNA", at positions 28 to 507 of the family's 1533-position model. The record is from RNAcentral.